Molecule: ribosomal RNA, 1328 nt
Filed under: Lysinibacillus sp.
Lineage: Bacteria; Bacillati; Bacillota; Bacilli; Caryophanales; Bacillaceae
Description: bacterial SSU rRNA
Rfam family: Bacterial small subunit ribosomal RNA
Source: RNAcentral
AUGCAAGUCGAGCGAACAGAGAAGGAGCUUGCUCCUUUGACGUUAGCGGCGGACGGGUGAGUAACACGUGGGCAACCUACCUUAUAGUUUGGGAUAACUCCGGGAAACCGGGGCUAAUACCGAAUAAUCUGUUUCACCUCAUGGUGAAAUAUUGAAAGACGGUUUCGGCUGUCGCUAUAGGAUGGGCCCGCGGCGCAUUAGCUAGUUGGUGAGGUAACGGCUCACCAAGGCGACGAUGCGUAGCCGACCUGAGAGGGUGAUCGGCCACACUGGGANUGAGACACGGCCCAGACUCCUACGGGAGGCAGCAGUAGGGAAUCUUCCACAAUGGGCGAAAGCCUGAUGGAGCAACGCCGCGUGAGUGAAGAAGGAUUUCGGUUCGUAAAACUCUGUUGUAAGGGAAGAACAAGUACAGUAGUAACUGGCUGUACCUUGACGGUACCUUAUUAGAAAGCCACGGCUAACUACGUGCCAGCAGCCGCGGUAAUACGUAGGUGGCAAGCGUUGUCCGGAAUUAUUGGGCGUAAAGCGCGCGCAGGUGGUUUCUUAAGUCUGAUGUGAAAGCCCACGGCUCAACCGUGGAGGGUCAUUGGAAACUGGGAGACUUGAGUGCAGAAGAGGAUAGUGGAAUUCCAAGUGUAGCGGUGAAAUGCGUAGAGAUUUGGAGGAACACCAGUGGCGAAGGCGACUAUCUGGUCUGUAACUGACACUGAGGCGCGAAAGCGUGGGGAGCAAACAGGAUUAGAUACCCUGGUAGUCCACGCCGUAAACGAUGAGUGCUAAGUGUUAGGGGGUUUCCGCCCCUUAGUGCUGCAGCUAACGCAUUAAGCACUCCGCCUGGGGAGUACGGUCGCAAGACUGAAACUCAAAGGAAUUGACGGGGGCCCGCACAAGCGGUGGAGCAUGUGGUUUAAUUCGAAGCAACGCGAAGAACCUUACCAGGUCUUGACAUCCCGUUGACCACUGUAGAGAUAUGGUUUCCCCUUCGGGGGCAACGGUGACAGGUGGUGCAUGGUUGUCGUCAGCUCGUGUCGUGAGAUGUUGGGUUAAGUCCCGCAACGAGCGCAACCCUUGAUCUUAGUUGCCAUCAUUUAGUUGGGCACUCUAAGGUGACUGCCGGUGACAAACCGGAGGAAGGUGGGGAUGACGUCAAAUCAUCAUGCCCCUUAUGACCUGGGCUACACACGUGCUACAAUGGACGAUACAAACGGUUGCCAACUCGCGAGAGGGAGCUAAUCCGAUAAAGUCGUUCUCAGUUCGGAUUGUAGGCUGCAACUCGCCUACAUGAAGCCGGAAUCGCUAGUAAUCGCGGAUCAGCAUGCCGCGGU